Meleagris gallopavo (turkey) is the source of this 13454-nucleotide non-coding RNA. The record is from RefSeq and is a predicted model, not a curated record. Lineage: Eukaryota; Metazoa; Chordata; Aves; Galliformes; Phasianidae.
GAUGAAAACGUUGAAUUGGUACAUCAUUAGGACAUUAAAGACACUAUUUGUUGGAGACAGAGGGAGGGCAAGCCUGUGAAAUGCUUUGCUGCUACAUAAUUACUUGUGAAUAUAAACACAUCCACAUAAACAUAUUUGUGCAUAAACAUUUUGGGCUGCAUACCAUGUACAAGUAAGCUCUUCUGAGGCUCUGCGUGCCCGACGUGUGCAGGGAUCCGUCCCAGUUUAGACAAGAGAAUGUUACUUAACAUUGUGCAUGCAUGUGGGAAAGAAGAGAAGGGCUUUAUUUUGCGGUAGUCAAUUAGAGUGCUCAACUUUUGUUUUUUUUAAAAGAGUAAAGGCUCUUAAAGCAGCCUGCUCAACCAAUUAGCUGCAGUACGACUCGUACUCCUGAACCUGCAGCUGCUCUGCAGAGGGCUGAAGCAAAAGGUGCAGCACUACCUGCUGUACCCCACCAAGAGACAUUCCCGGGAUGGAAGGGAGUGACAAGCACAUCUUUCUUAGGGCAGGGUGAGACACAAAUCUGUACAACACAGUACUGCAUAGCAGCCACUUCAAGGGGCACCAGAAAGCUGUGUCACUGAAUACACAGUUAGUGUGUGCUGAGCCAGGGAGCCAACAACAGGGUGAGUCAAUGGCAUGCACAGCCCCUGGGACCACAUGGAGGCAGAGAAUAGACAGUGCUCCCAGGGGACAAAAACAGCACGAGUAAGGAUUCACCAAAAUUCAGUGUUAAGCGACAGCUGGGCCUUGGAUCUCCCCUCUCUUGCCCUCCUCACACACUACCAGACCCUGAGCCAUUUUUAACAAUUAUUGUUGCCUUCCCCUGGCGACCUCACACUAACUCUUUCCAUACUAUUUAAGGGCUGCAGGCCUGGAAAUGACCUCCUGAAUCACUGAUCCCAGUCCCGUCUAAUUGGAGGCAACCGCAUCAUAUGAUCCCAGUCAGAAAUGCCUCAAAGUGAGAGGGUGGGAGGACAUGUAAUGAUUUCAUCCUUCCAAAUUCCAGAGGCAACACCCAAGCAUUUGUGGCAGAGAUUGUCUCUUGCUCAGAUGUUGUGGGAAGACUACCAUCGCCUAUUAACAAAAGGAGUUUGUGCUAAAAGGUGUUUUUGGUUUGCUUGCAGCUUUCUCAGUGUGACAAUGGCAGUGCAAGUGAGAUGAGAUCUGAAUAGAGCAGCUCAUUUUCACACUGUGCAUGAAGCAACUGCAUGAUGCACUAAGCAGCAGCUUGCCAGGAGACACCAGGAGAGCCUGCUAGGCCUCAGAGAGCGCUAUUGAAACAGCAGCUGGUGCAAUGUAAUGAAGAUUGGCAAGGUCUGGUGUAUGGUAACAGGGCCUAAUUUAAGCAUGAAUGUGCUAGCACCUCUGCUUUUGAAAGGGAAAUGUCUCACAGCCUCUGAAUACAUAUAAUCUAUUUCCCUGAGCUGGGGUGGGGGGGCUUACUCCUCAUUCUCCAUUAUCUUCCAUCUCACACUUCACUGUAGCUCUAGCAUGUGGCAGAUUGCCCCUGAGUCUGCAGCAAUGGCAGAAGAGAGGAACUGGGCAUACAGGGUGCCGGUCUCUGAGUUUUUUUUUCUUUCUUGUCAUCUGAUCCACUUGGUGGAAGAGUUGCACUGUGGGAUCAACUUCCUUAUUCACUGGGCAGCACAUCCUGCAAAGCAUUUCCUACCAAAACAGGGAGCAGGGUGGAAGAAGCACAGUGUGCCUAGGAUGGGAAUAACUGGCAGCGGGAGAGAGACAGUUGAGUAGGUUUGCCUUGAUUUUGAGGAUUGGAUAGAGAAGCAGCCAAAACAAGAGGCAUAGAGCUGUUACACCAGCCUCUCUAUAAAGCUUUACAACUCCUGGAGGCCCGGGUCACCUGGAUGCUGCUUAAAAAGUGCUCUUGGACACAGGUGAUAUAUGAGGGAGUUUGAAUACCAACUAGAAGCACAAAGGAAAAGGGAUGGAAAGUAGUCUGGAAAGAAAAGAAUGGAUACUUGCAACAGCUCCUGACUACAGCGCAUGGGCUCUUGAGAGGGUUGGACUCACCCAGGCAUAAUGAGGCCCAGCAGCAUCUUCCACCAGGUGUGGCAGAAACAAGAAAGAGGUGCCUUGAAUUUCUGGCCUUCCACAGAAACAACCCCCUUGUGCUGCUAUCUCCAAAGAAAUUGCCAAAAUACAAUGGUAAACAGCUCCAUGUUAAAGAACAAAGGUCCAUUAAAUAUCAAAUAGUGUUUUAACUUGCUCCAGAAUGCAAGGAUGAAAUUCAGUUUCCUGUCACCGCUGAAUUGUGACAAGCUACUAGCAAAAGCAACUUCAGAGAAGCUGGCAUGGUUUCUGUAGCUGAUAUCCGAAAGCUAUGUAGAAUUAUCUGCAGCAGCAAAGUGAGGAUAGCAGGCAAGAUAGACUCUGUUGUCAGGAGUAGGCAAGAGGAAUCACAUAGCUGAGAUGUAUUGAGGCAGAUGAUCCAAAUAGCUCAGGGGGUUCAGUCUCAUCUUCACCAGAUGCAGAAUAUGAACUCAGUAAAGCUGCUUUGUGAGGAAGGAGACAGAUUAUUUGUAUGCAUAGUAUGGAUCUCUUCCACAUAGCAUUAAUAAGCUACUGUCACUGUAACUCAGGUACAGUUAUUUCACUUGUAUCUAAAUUUUAAAAUAUAGAAGCAACGCUCAUAUAAAUCCUACUAUUUAAGGUAGUGUAGAUUAGUGUAGGAUAGGAGCCCAGGUUUUGGAUUUGGGUUGAGAAGAAGUAGUGUGGACCCUUUCUGAAUAACUGGGCAGUCCUAAAGCUAAUGGCUUGAGAGGUCAGUCAUUCACAACAAGGGGAAAAUAACUGAUUGGUACAGAGAAGCUGUUCACAAUCGCAAGCAGUUAAAGCUGUCAUUCGUUGAGAGGAACUGCACUGCCAGGGGCUUGGGCACAUUUCAUACAUCAGAGUGUGCCCACGGGCAGCCAAUCUGCUCAGGGUUAUUCUUCUCUUUUUAUGGGAACUUGGCAUACCUGUGUGAGAUGAAGUCAGAAAGAAUCUUUUGAAUCACACAGAAAUAAGCAGAAGGCUUCAUCCAUUUCCUCUGGAGAUAUAUCUUCUUAUUUCUCCAUGUGGUUGUGCAAAAUUUCUUGGCAAAGCUCAGCUCUUAGGAAGGAUAUUAUAGAACAGAUUCUGCUGCAUCAGCACUGUGUGAAGAGAUAUUAAAAAUAGACAUAAAUAGGAAUGGCAGGUGUUGGUAGCAUCAGUCUGUAAGUCAAUUACAUGUGGUUUCCAUAAAGUUCAUUCUUUAAGAAAUCAAUGCUAAGAAAAUAUGAUGACUUCUGCACCUACUCUGGAUACAAAGAGAUCGCUGUGCAAGACCUGAGGAAGAGAUCUCCUCAGCUGAAAAUGGAGUAGCUGCUGGAGUUCCCAUUGCCUGUCCUGUGUCCUCAGCCCACUGAGGCUCAGAAGCGGUAGCAGAUAGCAAUCAAGGAGUCAGGAUUUCCGCUCCCACCUCUCUUUCUUACCCUUUCUGUGACUGUAUUGUCUCCCAAAGCUGAUCACAAAGGAUAUGGUGUGGCCAAAGGCUUAGAUGGGGGUGAUAAGGAGGAGUUAAGCAGAAGCAUUUUCACAUCAAAAAUAAUUUGGUAUGUGCCCAGACGGUGUGGUAGUGGCUAGCAGUGGAACAGCAAAACUGCUUAAUGCUUGUGGCAGGUCAGAGCUAAAAGCCCAAGAAAGUGCUGUGGUGAACAGCUAGUUUUUCCCAGUGCCUUAUGUUGCUAUGUAGACAAAUGGAAGCUACCUAUGCGGGUCCACGGAUGAGUGCUUGUUGCAGACCGUCAGACCUAGAUGUCUCUUAGCUUUCAGGUUCACAAGCACAUUUCUCUAACAAAAGCAGUAGGUUUAGGACACUCCUUUUGUCCUACAGGCUCUCCUUCCUCCCCAUGUCUCCCCAGAUUAAGUGAUGCUAGCACUGGGGCAUGAUAAGCUCUCACUUGCCAGAAGUGCAUUCUGACACUGCUCCUGAGCCAUUUCACCACGUGUGUCCACCAGAGGUAACACAGUCUCACAUCAUCCCAUCCUACAGCAGGCAGAGGGGGAGCAGCUCCCACUGAGUCCUACAGCAGACCUGCUUCUGUCUGCAAGAAAGGAUUUAGCCUGGAGGAUCUGAAGAUUUUAAUUUCCUUUCUUCUCUCUCUGACUUUGCCAGUUUCCUUCCUCUGAGGUCUCCUAUACACAUAGCAGAGGAGAGAAAAGCAGAGAGAAGGAGGGUCUCAAAAUAGCCUGACUGCCUGCUAAACUCUGGUUGGUUGGUGGCACUUCCCAGGUCUGUAGUGAGGAAAGGUGACAGUCAAGGUAAAGGUGGAUUAUGGGAGUCCAGCCACCAGGAUAUUAUACAUUUUUAACAGAGAAUUUGUCAUUUCUAUAAGGAAAGUAUUCAGUUUACAAGAAAAUACUGGCAACCCAGACACAUCUUCACUGUCAAAAAUGGAGCUAUUACAGAUGUGGGAAAAGGUUCCCCCAUCCAAAGCUGAGACUGCCAAAGGUUGCCCACUCUGAGAGUCCCGGUAGAGAUGCUGGAAGAUGCCCACAGUCUGCCAGUUUCUUAAGGAGUGGUUCUAUUUAUUACAGUAUUUGAAAUGUGAGAUCCUGAGAUAAUGGCUCAGGGAUUGCUCAAGACCAUGAGAUGCAUCAUCACUGAGCAGACCACUUCUUUCCCCUUUUUCUGCUUUCUCCCUGGUAAGACAACAUCUUCUGGAAGGGGGCUUUUGCACACACUGCCAAAAUUCAAUUUGUGAGUUUGUUCUUCUGAAGCAACAUUGAAUGAUGUAACCCAAAUUGCCAGUCAGCUGGGCAACACCAGUCAGUAUUCUGGAGCCUGAAAUGGAAUAAAGUUCAUGUACCUGCAUUCCUUCUAGUUGUAGCUCACUUAAGCAUUUGAAAUAUCCACUGAGUGAAUACUCUAGGGUUUGGAGGUCAGCAAUGCUAAAACAUAAGUGUUCAGAGACUUGUUUGCAGAGCAAGGUCUUUGACUGGAGGAAGUGGGAUACAAGCCAGCACUUCUUCCUGGGGCACGAAAGAGAGAGGAUAACUCAAGAGCUUGAACAAUCUGCCUUCUGUUACAAUACACACCCUGUUUUAACUAAUUCAGUGGCCAGGUCACAGCAGCAUGCUCUAGCAUGUGAGCUCCCAAGCACUGAACAUCUACAGUUUAUAGCAGCAUAGAUGAGGUCUUCAGCUGCUGCACUGUGCACCUCACAGCAGCAACAGUGAUACUGUUAUAACACAGAAAUCAUCAGUGAGAGGAAACUAAUCUUGAACAGGCUAAUAGGUACAGUUAAGUCUUUUGGACAUUUUUGCAUUCUGAGCCUGAGCAUAAGAAAAAGGUGCUUCUUCAGCUUAAUGCUUUACAUGUAAACAAAUGCUGACUUAGUAGUAGUGUGUGAAUGUGUCCACUGAACAUACAGAUUUGACCUGGAUGGUGCAUUCCCCCAGAAGUUUCCUUGGAUAGCACAUCUGUGAGGGCAGGGCCAUGUUACUGGCUGGCCAGGAGGAGUGAAAACAACGGAGCUUGACCUGCAACAUGGAGUUAGUUGUUGGCCUUAGUAAGCUCCGACCCCGCUCUGUGAGUUAGUUUUGGACUCACAAGAGGUUUGAUAAAAGAAGUGGAGGUUAAAUGAAAACACGAUUCAAAAGCAAAUGAAAAUAUGCACAGUAUCUCUUCCUGCAAACAUUGCCUGGCUUUUAUCCUUGCCCUGUAACUCGUAGAGCUAGCCUAAAUGCUGACUCCCACUUCCUUGAAAUGGUUAAAAUCUGACUGUGCUCAGGAGAGCAGAGGGUGGUUCCAAACAUAAAUAAAGAUGUGAGGCUAAACAUCGGGCAAGCCAAACUGAUGUUUCAACAUUCAGUAGGGUCUUACACCAAGCUGUACGCCCAGUUGGACUCUGCAGGAUAUUUAUAAAAGUUUGCCUCAGUAAGUCCAUCUAACUCUGCUCUCAUUUUCCAGUGUACGAUAUUGGAUGUUAAUUCUGCUGUUGCUAUAUGUAUGGGAACUGUUGAGUCAUGGCCUGAACCACUGAUUGAGCACCUGGGAAAAGUCAGCCCUGGGAGCACAGGUGAAGUCAAUUCAGCUGUGCGACUGGAAGGCUGCACAGCCUGGCUGCACCUCUCUUAGACCUCAUUUAGGGGCUGACUGCCACUGAAGAGACUUUUUUUCUGGAGAUCCCUGCUUGGUGAAGCUUUCUCCUGUGAACCUGGAACCUUCAGAUACAGGGUAAACACAAAGACAACAACAACUGGGUAAUGUACAGAAUGCAACUCCCACCCCUGCAUCAAGCCAUCCUCAAAGUAUUUAUUUUCUUACCCCAUCUCUAUAUUAGAAAAAAAAAAAACCAACGUGUAUUUUUUGUUGUUUCUUUUUUGUUGUCCACAACUCUUAGUAACAGCUGAAUAGAUUCAAAUAUCCCCUACCACCCUUCUGACAUCCACCCACUGACACACCUGCCAUGCUUCCUACCAAAUUUGUGAGAUUAGGUUGAAGAGUCUGGGCUCUCUCAAACAUGACUGAAGCAGGCUGUCAGGAGAUGGGCCAAUUGAUGGAUGGGCUUUGCAUUAGCCCUUGUUCCUCUGAGCUCUUGCACCAUUAAGUGAGAUUAAAGAGUUCAAGGAUUGGAAUUGUGAUACCUCCCUAACUGUUUAGUUCAAAUGAAUCCAACACUUGUAAUAGUGUAUUAAAUGUAUUUUUAAAUAUUUUAAAGCAGCAGUUUUACAACAAUAGAUUGUGUAGCUGAAUACAAUGCAGCAUCUUACUUACUACUUUCUGUUCUCGGUCCUGCUGCACAAAAUCAGCAUUUUACACCAUGUUAUGAUAACAAAGAAUUUCCAAACAGCCAUUACACUGUAUGAAUACAUGGGAAACUGCUCAUCAGUAAUUCAUAACAGAGGGAAUUUUGCAAUUCUGGAAGAAAGACUAGUAAGUAUAGUCAAAGUGUUCCUCUUUCAUUUUCUCUUUCACUGUUUCCAUACUAGCCCGGAGUGUAACCAGAUAGCUUUCUAAGACCUCUGUUAGCAAGCAGAGUUUGGUGUGCAGGCACCAAUCUUAAUAUAUGGGAGCUUAGAGGUUUUGAGUGCAGAACAAAUAGCUUUUAAAAGCAAUACCAAUUGCUAAGAGGAUCGUAUUACAAUAAUAGAUUUGAAAGCUUAUACUCCAAACAGCACUGUGGAUGAGAGCCGACAACACAGAUGAAGAAUUUUGUGAGCUGCUAGGAGCAGAGCAGGACUUGCUUAUUGCACAAAUGAAUGUGGGUUGUGGGACAGCUGACACCUCACUGAAAUCAGGCCUCUCAAUCACCCAGGAUUACCAUGGGACUCAGGAGGGAUGCAGAAGCAGCUCCACAAGGCUGGAUGAGGGAAGCAGCAAAUGACAGAAAAAAAUGAAGGGAUCCACAAGUAAAGGGAACUAACAUGUGCUACCUUGACAGAAGACACUGAAAGCUAUUCAAAUGAGAAGAGAUGGAUGGAUAACUCUGAUGAUCUCAGCCUCGGUCUGGAGAGGAGUCUGGAAGGAGCUGGGAGCUGCUUAGUUGCUGCUUGACAGACCAUGUUUCAUCCAUGUUGAGAGGAAGCCUCAGAAGCAGAGCUCUCGGUAUUUUUCAGACUGCUUGUGCGUUUGGGGAUUCCUAAACGCUUUUCUUUACUGUUUCAUAACAUUUGCAUUCUGGUUUGUGUGUGGUAUAUGCAUUGGAAGUAACUUGAAAUGCUGGAGGUUUCUUUGCCUGCGUGCCUAAAUACAGUAACACCUUGCUUGGCAGACUGAAGAAAAGAUUAAGAGUGUUUUGGCUAUAAUUCUUGACCAUGGUCAAAUCAAGACCUUGGUUUCCUCAAUCACCAACUCCUCAUUGGGAGCAUACUUAAGCAGCAAUGGUUUAUGUCUCUAAAAUAGAAGAGCUAUUAUCAACUAAAGUUAAAAAUAUAUUCAGUAAAUCAGGUUCUGGUUUGGGGAUGUUAUGGACGUCACGUAAAAGGAAGUACUCACAAAAUAGCAUAGUGAUGAAAUUCUAUUUGUAAGUCCACUAGUUUCCAAACAGCUGUUAAUGGCAACUUCUUUCUGGACAUCAGCAGGGUAGGGAUGGAGAAUAAUGUGAGGUGCAAGGGAGCGUAUGGCCCAAAAGAGGCAUAUAAAUCCUGCCCACACACACACUGUGUGAGCAGUUGGAGCUGGCUCACAGACAGCACAAGAUGAGUAUGUUCUGCAGCAGAUGCCACUCUGUGCUGUAUCCCAUGGCUUUAGUAUUUUACAAACAUCCUGCUGCCUCUCAAAUGUCUGUGAGGGUGGUUUUGGAAAUGUAAGCCAAAGAUAAGCAAUGCAAAGGUGUCUGCUUGAGUCCACAGGCAGGCAGAGCAAGAUCUUCAAAGGUCUGAAUGUUUGCCAUUCAUCUUAAUGGCAUGUUAUUACUAAAGUCAUGCAGCAAUACACGGUUUAGGGUUGUUAACUAUUUCACUGCAGGGUAAAACUUGCAAGGAAAUGUUAAAUUCAUGAAUAGCAUGUAGGUAUACUUUAGUUAUUCUCAAUGCCAUCUUGUUUUGGCCUUAUAGUGCAGAAACAUUUUUAUUUGAGCUUCGUAUUCGCAUUAUAAAGAACUGUCUAGAAAUUAUUUCCAGAUGCAAUUAGCUGGUAUCCUGACUAUGAUGCUGCUUACCUGACAAUCUACCUUUACAUCACAAUUUGACACUUCUGUGACCAUGAAUUUAUAAGAUUCAAGCUUCUGAGGAAAGCAAGUGGGGCAAAUCUUACAUAAUAGCAAAGAUCAGCAAGAGCUACACAACUAAAUGAAGAAAAAAGGUUGAUGUGUUGUGUCUUGGUAAUUCUGCAAGUUUUGAGACAGAUGCUGUCAUCUAUUUAACUGAAAGAAGCAAAUGUCCCUUCACCAACAGAAUGUAAAUUGGAGGGGGACCCCAAGUCAAGUAGAAAUUUACAGUAGAUCUACCAAAUUGUUUUUCCUAAGUUGGGCACUGCCAGGGCUGCAAAAGAGCUUUUAAAGUCAAAUUCAUUUUAUUAUUACAGAAUCUGAAUCCUGUAGCUUUUUUAACAGAUAAAAUUUUACAGGAGACAAAGCAGAAGAAAAAGCAUUUGGAAAUGGAAUUCCUUCUCGCCCACUGUGUCCUGGCAGAAAGGGUCCUUUUUUCGGGCUUCCUGUCAGUUUAGCAGCUCGGGAUCUUUCUGUAUUGCACCAAAGCCUCCUCUGAGAAAGAUCCCUGAGACUCUAGGAAAUAUCUUUUGUCUCAUCACUGAGGCCUGGCUGUAUGUCUGUUCUUCUCAGCAGUUUGCCUGUCUCUGCCUGUGAUGCAGGCUCUGUGCCUGCUGAGUUCUCCUCAUAUCCUCACAGGAGUACUCCCACAUAUUACUCAGCAAUUAAUUAUUUUCAUUUUAUUGCUUUUUAACUGAAUUAAUAGGCUAUACAUUAUCUAAAAAAAAUCAUGCGGAAAAUGAGAGAGGCUGAUUAGAAAGGAACUAUCUGGAGGGUGAGAGGAGAGGAAGCUGAAGGCUAUGAACUGUCAGAUGAAGUGAAUUUUAAAACUAGCUUGGCACUGAUUGUCUGUGGUGAAAGAAUAUCACGAAGAGCAGUCUCUGGCCAAGUUUUCAGGGCUGGUUUCUUUGUUCUUUUUUGCUUUAGUGCUUAAUCCCAUAAAAAUGUACAUGGCAUUACUGAAAGAAAUGGCCCAUAGAGAAGAUUGGUAUGGCUGUCAGAAACAGACAAAAUAAUGAAGAUCUUCGGAAAGAUCGGGUAGGAAGAGCUAUGAGAAGUACAGAAAUAUCAAGCACUGGCAGAAAGAGAAACAUGAAUGAAAAGAGAGAAACUUUGCACAUGAUAAGAUGUUUCUUUGUAGUAAUAUUGAUAAUUCAAUAAUAUAUUUCAACCUCUGACAGAGUCUUCAAGAAAUGUAAGUCACACACAGAAAGGAAAUUAUCAGCUAAAUAUGCUUUAAUAUGAGAAUUUAACUCUUCUCACAGGCACCUUUUCUUUUUAAUAAAUAAAAUACAGAUUUACUCUAAACAUAAUAGUUUUGAACGCGUAUAUCUAAAGCCUCAUUUGUUUGCUGGACAUAUUCCUUCCUAUGGCAGAAUGUUCAAAAGGUAUUUUCACAUUUAACUUUGACAUUAUUCUAAUUAAAAAAAAUAUAUAUAUUACUCUUAGUGAGAUAAAAUUACACAAAUAGCUUUCAUUUCUUUUGCUUUUGACAGGACUGCCUGCCUAGCAAAUUGAGUGGAUAUUGUGGUCAGUACACCUUGAGCUCCAGGAAGCUGUGCAAAGCAGAGCCCCAGCUAGCCCCUACAGCAGACUUGAGGCUGUGCAGCUGCCAGCGUAGAUGCUACACCAACAGGGCUCUUGUCACGGCAGGGAAACCAGACUGCUGGCAGUGUGUGACAGGGGGAUGCUUUGGGCACAAAGGUGGAACAUGGUGUCCUGCCUGCUGGGUUGGAGUCCCAGGCAGACAAGUGUCACGCUGCAGGUAUGCACAUAGGGCACUGUGAGAGCUGCUCCUUAAUGAAUUGGUAGCAUGCCAGCCUUUGAUUGGCAUGAGGCAACCACAUGGGUUUUAAUCUCUUCCUCUGCACACAUAGUGACUAUUAAUGAGAGGAUUACUGUGAAGUGGCCUGAAACUAAAUGGCAUGUGUAGAAUCUCAUGGCUAUGUAAGUCACAGGCAGACUUGGAUAGCACAAGAAAGGGGCAUCCUUCUUCACAUUUUCCAGAAAGAAAUGUGAAGAUCAAAUAGUAUCAAACUCUUGCACGGAGGUACCCAAACUCGUAACGAACAUCAGAUCUAAAAUUCCAGUUGCCACUGCCAGUAUGUGUAAUACCGCACAUGGGUGUCACCUUGUUCCUAUAGCACCGAAAGUCUAGCGAUGGGAGAGGUGAUCCCAUCAGCUGAGGCAGCUGACAAGCCAGUACCUUCUGCAGAUCUGAUUGUAAAAGAUGUUGUAAACAAGCACGUGCCUGGGUUUACCCUGUAGGACAAUAUAAUAUCCAGCUAUGGAACUGCAGGGUCACUGCUUGCCAAAAUAAGACUGAAUAAGCUGAUGUUUUGCAGGUACUCCAGGCUCACCCUCAUUUCUCAAGCACAUUCUGCAGCAGUUCGUAGUUAAGGUUACACAGACACACUCAGCAAAACAGGAUCCCUUCCACUGGGAUGAGGGGAGUAGAGAGAUGGCUGCUAGCUGCCAGCCUAGAGUGGAAAGUGAGUCAUGGUCAUGAAAUAGGUCAUUUCCACUCCGUGUGAACGCUCUCGCAUAGUAUUCAGGUUGGUUUCUGUAACAAGGAACAGCCUGGGCUCAGGUUUGCUUCUGGGCUUGCUGCUUCUGCUGCAGAUAAGCAGGAAAAAAUAAGCUGUACAAAAAUGAGUGUUUUCAGCUGAUGAAUGUAUGAUUGUGGAUUCUGGCAAAAUUAUUCUAACUUCCACUGAUUGAACAUGUGGUUUAGUUUUGCUUCAUGUAUCUAUGUAGCUUCUUUAAAAAAGGAAGGAAAAAAAUCUCAGUAGCAGCUGCAUUGGCUUCUGCUAAUAUUUGCUUCCCUAACAGAAAACCUAAGCAGUCCAGCAAAAGAUGAAAUCCUUUCUUUAUUUUUAUUUCAAAUCAUAUCUUUGAAAUGCGAGUUUCUGCUGGCAGAUAGAAUACGAGCUUAUCUAUGGCAAGUGGGAGACUCUGCUGUGAGCCUUUCUUUGGGAAAGCCUCUUUGACCCCAAACAGGAUAUUCUACAACAUUUGAAGAUUGAGAGAUGAUAGCAGUAUUUUUUCCAGGACAUUUCUCAGAGAAGAGGGAGGGGUGUCAUUAUUGUUGUCAUUUCACCAUAGCAGAUAGAAUGCUGUCUGGAGAUGCCGCCCUUGCUGGAUAAUUGAUUAAGGUUUGGAUUUGAGAGGUGGGCAUUUCCUCUAUUUUUAGUUACCAUAUUAGAUUUUCACAUAGGGAAAAAAAAAGAAAAAAGAAAAAACAACCUUGUUUCUCUUGUUCCUGUUACCUCCCCAUGUCACGACAACUCGCUGCUGCCCCUUUUUUUCCUCUCCUUCUAGGAACAGUUGCUUUAGGAGUGAUUCUGGUAACCUGAUACCACUUGAUGUAUUUUUGCUGGAAUAUGGAGCCUACAUAAAUUGCACCAUAAGCAAAUUUCUUUAUAAUGGAAGGAUCGGGAAGCUGCAGCUUGGCAGGCCGUUUCAUUGGUGUGUUUUUUUUUUUUUAAGGUGGAUUUUCCAGACACUUCUUAACAGAUGGUAUUUGCUAAAAAGAAGAAUUUUGCUAAAAGGUAUUGGGAAUAUGUGGUUGCCACUGUUUGUACAGAGCAUCCCACCUGUAGGCAAAGUGCCCUAAGUUAAGAACAGAUGCUGCCUGCCUGCCAAAUACCACUCCAUAACCUGAAAGGAAAAUCUGUUGUUUGCACUUUCCUAUUUGUCUGACUAAUUAUUGCUGGUUUCACAGGAGCCCAGAGCCUCUUAGUGAAAACAAAUCCCAUCUUCACAGUCUCAAAUGCAGACUUCUUUAGAUUCAACAUGGAGAGACUUUGGUGGCUGCAACGUGAUGUGAUGCAGGUGGGGCCCUUGCAGUGAUAAUCCCUAAAAGGAGCUGGAACAGAGCUUUGGGUGAGAUCAAAGAUCUUAUUGAUCAUGGCUAGAAAGAGAUCAGCCAAACCAGCAUGAGUGCAGCCCAGGACUGCCCUGCAGUUUGACCCCUCCCUAGCAAGCUGAGCCUGCACUCCAAAUCUUUUUCUUUUAAAUUGUUUACAUUGGAAGUGGUGUUUAUUCAAGGAGCCAAAAGAGACUGAAAGUCUUUGGGCAUAUAUAGCAAGUGCUACAGUGAGAGAAGCUUCUUCAGGCUGCCUCUCUAGCAUACAUUUGGAGCUUGCAGGGCUUCUCCUCUAACAGAAGAGAAGUGCCUCAGGGCUCCCUUAUUCCUCCUGAGGACACUGACCACUGCUGUCAGACAGGGCCUGUACCACCAGUGCCACAGCCUCUAACCAAACUCACCACAGCAGCUCUGCCCACCGGUCUCCACUGCCAUGGGCUGUGCUUCAGCCAGUGAGAGCCUUUCUGUCCUCAUGCUGGAAGUUGCGUUUCUUAUCUGGCAUGGGCUGAGGUGUUGGGGAGUAUUCUGAACUAUGCAGACCAUGCAAGCUCUGUCACCAGUCACCCAAAAGGGAGAGCUCUAUUACAACCCAUUAAUGCUCCCAGACCACUCAGGCUCAGUUGUGUUGUCACUACAGCACUUAUCUGUUCCCAGAGCGUGCGUGGGGCUGCACCAUUCGCCAGCUUUGCUCACACAGCAGCACGGGGAUGCAUGUUGUGCAUGGUGAAGCUAUUCCUCAGGCUCUGCGGCACAGGAAUUUCUCCUGAUAAGGUAAACCCCUGUGAUCUGCCCAGAAAUGAACCCUAUUCUGCAGGAGGAAGGGGAGAAAGUUUUCCAUUUCAUUUCUUUCACUGAAAAGAAUGCUGCUGGCUGAGCAGGUUGGAGCAAGCAGG